Molecule: ribosomal RNA, 254 nt
Filed under: uncultured bacterium
Lineage: Bacteria
Description: partial 16S ribosomal RNA
Rfam family: Bacterial small subunit ribosomal RNA
Source: RNAcentral
CACGUAGGGUGCGAGCGUUGUCCGGAAUUAUUGGGCGUAAAGAGCUCGUAGGCGGUGUGUCACGUCGGCCGUGAAAACCUGCAGCUUAACUGUGGGCGUGCGGUCGAUACGGGCAUCACUGGAGUUCGGCAGGGGAGACUGGAAUUCCUGGUGUAGCGGUGAAAUGCGCAGAUAUCAGGAGGAACACCGGUGGCGAAGGCGGGUCUCUGGGCCGAUACUGACGCUGAGGAGCGAAAGCGUGGGGAGCAAACCGG